This is a long non-coding RNA of Esox lucius (northern pike), 5993 nucleotides long. NCBI's taxonomy places the organism in Eukaryota, Metazoa, Chordata, Actinopteri, Esociformes, Esocidae. The record is from Ensembl.
CAAGUAUAUAGGCGCCGGGGUCGAAUGCUUGGUUGCCUUUAGAAUCAUUGGUAUAGCCAAUAAAGAGGGAAAAGGGGAAGGGAGCGAGACGAGAGAUAAUCUCAUCCGCUCGUGCUGUUUAGAUUGGCGCAGCGUCUUCCUCCCAGGGCAUCGAGCCGCGCGCCCACCACAACGGCCCAUUUGAAAGAGUGAAAGGGUGGCCUGCGCUCAACGUAAACACGCCCUUUGCACUUAACGUUACUGAGUAGAGUGCACGCGGGUAUGGCGGGUUUCGUUUGUUUGUGUUGGACAAUGACAAUGACCAAUUAGGAUGUUUUUAUAAGAAGAUGAAGUGCGGGUCUGACGGAGACCAUCGCGUGCUGCUCCCAAGCAGUCCCUGAACCGGUCCCCGUGUUUACCGAAAGGAAGAGCCUGUUUCCGGUAGCUAACAAAACACAUGCUCUACAGCCCCGCGAGGCGGGGCAGAGACAGCAGAACCGGACGGACACGACCAAUAGAUCAACCUCCUCCACGACCUCGGGCAGGACAGGAGUUCAUCCCCGGGGAAGCCAUGGACAAGCCAGGUCAAGGGCCCACCGCGGCUCAGGGGAGUUUGUCAUUAUAACGAGGGACGUCGGAGAGCCGCGCAAUGACAGCUGGGGCUGCGUUUAGUAGGAUUUCACAGGAUAUGUUAGCUUUUGGGUUGUGCAAGUUCGCUUGGCUAUAGUCCUACUGAUUCAUUGUUGCAGGUUUAGCAACAGAUUACUGUAAAUGUUACAGAUUGGGUAAGGGUUUGUGUGGGCAGGCUAACACCUCUCUGCUCUUGUAGGCCUAUUGGUUUCGUUCGAGGCAUUCGCGAGAGGAUUUGUGUGAAAACACAAUGUACAAGAGCAAACAAAUGCCCUGAAUGUAAGUUGCUGUGAAUAAGAGCUAAAUAAACAAAAUAUAACAUUCAAAUAGGCCAACGUAAUUCCCACUGUGCUCAACUGUGUGCAGUACCUAAUUGGAUUGAACUCUAAUAAAUACCUUUUUCUUAAGAGUUUAUAUUAAAAGGAACUCUACCUCUUCUCUCUUUCUAAACCAGGACGUUGUGCUGGUGAUAAUGGUAUAAGUAGCCAUGUUAAUAUAGAGAGCCGUUUGGCAUGUGUGUUAGAGAAACAGUGUGACGGUGUGUGUGUGUGUGUCUUUGGGGUGGGGGUUAUAUCCAACGUGAUCUCAUCGCAGGUCGUUAGUGUGAGGACUCCUGUUUCCUCAUGAUAAAACUCGAUCCUAUAACCCCGCCUUGCAGAUCUCCAAACCAUGCUUUAAUACCAAUGUAAUUAGUCAGAAAGUGUAAUGAUAUUAGCCCUACCCUUAUGGCAGCCAUAUGUGCGCGUGUUUGUGCUUUGAAUCUGUGCAGAGUACGGUGAUGGAUGGGAGAAGCCACGUAUUUGUGUGUGUGCGCCGAUGUGCAUAUACACUUCACUGUGAUGAUUGUGUGUGUGUGUGUGUGUGUGUGUGUGGUUGGGGGUCGUGGAUUAAGCUUAAUUAAAUAAUAAUAAUAUGAAAAAUAAUAAUAAUUAUAAUAAUAAUCACUUGUAGCCCAGGGAAGACGUGAUAAGGAGCUGACCGAAGUUUGUAUGAACACACACACCCCCACAUAUGCGGGUAUGCACACACGAGCAAACACACAAGUACAUAUUCGCGUGCAUACACGCAUACGCACGCACACACACACGCUCACACACAAACUAGUUGUAUGUCACCUGAGAGCUUUUAGUAAAGAUGGCCACUCGCAGCCAGUGGUUCUGAAGUGUCUAAUGUGGCAGGUCUGAACAUGAACAUAGCACGUUGAUGCGUGUGUGUGCGUGUGCGUGUGUGUGUGUGUGUGUGUGUGUGUGUGUGUGUGUGUGUGUGUGUGUAGGCGUGUGUGUGUAGACUGCGUGUGUGUGAGCGCACAUGCAUGUGUUCAUUCUUGCUUGUAUGUUGUAUUUUGAGUGUGCAUGACCAGGCCGGAAAAUAAUAUUUAAAUAUACAAUAGGCUACUUAAAGUUUGAAAUGUGACAAUAAAGAAAUGCAUCUAAUGCGUAUCUAAUGUUAACUGUAACUGUUUUAAUAGCAUUUUUGUAUAUUAAUAAAUACAUAUAAAAUAAUCUAGAUUUGGACAGUACAAAAAACGUGCAAAUGAAGUGCGCCCAAAAAUGUAAGUUUAUAUAAUUUAAAGUUUAGGCCUACUUAAUAAAAGAAUCCCACAUUGUGUGCGUUUUUAUGUUGUGUAUAUGUGAGGAAAGGAGAUCUGAGAGGUGAAGCCGCUUAUUUGAAUCUCUGUACACUCAUGUACAUCUGGAAGGAUUAGGACCUUAUUUCUGCGGAUUCCCCUGUUUCAAUCUUUGGAAAAAAUUAUAUUUACCACAUUACACAUCUAACAUCAAUUCAGCUACAAAUGUCAUUCAAACUACAAAAUAUGUUGACAUUCUGGAUUUAGUUUUUAAGAUACAGAUAUUGAAUGUUCUGAUGUGUUUUUAAAUUAAGCUUUUAGUCCUUUUCUAGACACUUUCAAAGAUAUUUCUUCAACAUUCUAAAGUUUCCGUUGUUUAAAAACGGCCAGACGUCCAACAUUCUUUUCACUGUAAACAAUGUCACUUCGGACACAAAUAAGCUACUUUGAUCACUUUCCCAACAAGUUAGAAGAAAAUGGCAGCAGGAUCUGCUUGUGAACCGGCCUCACCUGGUGUCUCAGUAACACCCUGAUUACAAACGACAGUAGUUUCUACCACUUUCACCAACAAGACCUACAGAAAGUUAGAUGUUUCAAAAAAUACUGCUGUUUGUCUGAGUUUAGAGAGAUGCAAAAUAGCAAUUUAAUGGCACACCCUCCUUCCUUCUUCUCGGCUCUCGUUUGUUGCCGUGUCCGUAGCAACUGAUCUUCCCCAACACACAGAGCCUGCAGUCGAUACUUUUCCUGGCUGGUUUGCUAGAAGGCUGGAUCCGGAUCUCAGAUGCUGAGAGACAAAUUAACAACUCAGACAGGUCGAAACGGUGCCUGAGAGUGUUGUGUGUUACCGCCACAAAUAUAUGACGAUUUAUAAAGAUAAUCUGGUAUAUCAUCGCUGCUGUAAUGUAUUACAGCUAGGGUGCAUUAGCCGGUUCAUAUUUGCGAGAAUUCACUGCUCUUUUUGUAUUUGAAAUAUGCAUUUAGGAUAUAAACUUAGAUUAUUUUCUCAUUUGUAUUGUACUGCCCUGAAUUACAGUCUAAUGUAUAUUUAAUAAGAUACUAUAUCCAAUAAAUGCACCUGUCAUUUGUAUAUGUAGCCUGUCUUGACGUGUACAGCCUACUUGUAUUAUUAUGUGCUACUUGUAUAUAAUGUUUAUUUUGUAUUUAUGUUUUUUAAAAUAUGUAUUUGGUUCUGUGGGUUGUCCACUUUUCUUGCAAUGAUGUGCUUUUGGCCAGGUUGCAAUAAAAAGUGAAAACGUGUUCUCAAUUUUCUUACCAGGUUAAUGAAUUAACGGUAAAUAUAUAUAAUGAUAAGAUUUAGAGGGCUGUGUUUUGUAAAAUAUUUUGUACUGAAAGCAUCAAAUAAGACCAAAAUUGUGCUGUAGUGAACUAGGGCCGUUAAUAGGGCAUACUCUCCCCUCCAUAGGGCAUACUCUCCCCUCCAUGGGGCAUACUCUCCCCUCCAUGGGGCAUACUCUCCCCUCCAUGGGGCAUACACUCCCCUCCAUAGGGCAUACUCUCCCCUCCAUAGGGCAUACUCUCCCCUCCUGUUCCCCCCUGACUAUCCCCUCACUGUGUUGUUUCCUGAGCUAGAAAAUAUAAGAAAUGUCAUAAUAACUGAUUAAUUAUUUCAUUAGAUGACAGUACAACAUAAAUUACACCUGGGUUUGGAUGCUGAAAUCGUACCUCGAAAAGACGCAUUACAGGGCCAUCUGGCAGCAAAACAUUUUGGGUGCCCCCCUCUUGAUGGCACAUACAUAGAUUUUUUGAUGUCUCAUGCUAAAAGGUUUCCAACCUAGACUAAAUGUCCACAUUGUGGUCAUGGGCUCUGACAACGUAGUGUGACUGGCAUUAGAAGAUGAUCCUAGUGACUGACCAAUAGAAACACGGCAAUGAUGUCCCUGGGGAUCACCGGGAUGUGAAACAAACAAGUCUUAAAGCCAAUCCAGAGAGCCAACAGAAUCCGGCGCUAGAUGGGACGAUUACGGCAUGCGUACGAAUGGUGAUAACCACCAUGGCUCAUUGUAAAAACAACCCCACAGCAGGUGUGGGAGAGACGUGUCCUCAGACACAUAAUCUCGCCAAGCCGUCCUGCUUUCUAUCACAGGGCUCGAAACAUCUGGCCACUGCAAAGCAGCUGUUCUUGGACCUCUGCACCGCUUGUGGGGGCCCACAGCCUUUAACUUGAGGUAACAGAGCUGUGACCGGUACACAACAGUGAGAGAUAAAAUUCCGCUUAGAGAGCCCUGCGAGGUGGUCCCCCGCACCUGAGGUUGUGGGAGAUAUAGUUUGAAAUUCGGGAAUUUCAAGGAUUCAGGGGAGGGGGCGAGGCUUUUUUCUGAAGUCAACCACCGUUGGGAUGUCUCUGUGUGGAGGUCAAUGUUAUUUUGACUGCACCAGGCCAGCUGGUCUACCUCUUCACUGCAAGCAUAAUGAUAGUAACAGAUGGCUGAGUCCAGGACUCUACACGCUGUGUUUCUGGUUGGUUGAGUCCAGGACUCUACACGCUGUGUGUCUGGUUGGUUGAGUCCAGGACUCUACACGCUGUGUGUCUGGUUGGUUGAGUCCAGGACUCUACACGCUGUGUGUCUGGUUGGUCGAGUCCAGGACUCUACACGCUGUGUGUCUGGUUGGUUGAGUCCAGGGCUCUACAUGCUGUGUGUCUGGUUGGUUGAGUCCAGGACUCUACACGCAGUGUGUCUGGUUGGUCGAGUCCAGGACUCUACACGCUGUGUGUCUGGUUGGUAGAGUCCAGGACUCUACACGCUGUGUGGCUGGUUGGUUGAGUCCAGGACUCUACACGCCGUGUGUCUGGUUGGUUGAGUCCAGGACUCUACAUGCUGUGGAAUACAGAAUAAAGAGCAGGCAGGUUGUGUGUUGUAGAGAGCGGCGGCUGGCUAGGCGAGGACAAGGCCAUAGGAGGAAGUCUGAAUGCAUGGCCCUCCCCCAGGGCCCCCAGGGCCCUCCCCCAGGGCCUGUACUGUACACCUACCACCGCUGUGUGGGUGUCCUGUGCAUGCGCGCGUGUGUGUGCAUGCAUGUGUGUUUGUCAGGCAUGCAAGGAUGGGGGCGGUUUACACCCAGUGAAUAAUGUCUGUCUUUGGGUAGCAGCGACCUCUCUAGCGUCCAUUUAGUUCUCCGUCCUGCUCUGUAGUGUCUCCCUCAGUUCCUUUGUCGGGCGACUGAGGACAACCCUCUGUUGCCUGGUCUUUGGACUCACAGAGCGUCCCGCUAAGCAGCGAGAACCCGCUUCCCAGUUCACACCUGCUUUUUGACCAGCGUGUGAAAGAUUAAGUGUGAUUUUAUUUGAAACAUGUGGUGGUGAGCAACAUUUCUGCGCCAGUUUUGCACUAAAUAUAUGUGCCGUUAACAAAAAGAAAGGUUGUUGCAAGUUCCUUGCUCUGUAUCCAUGACGAUUAAGAUUGUUGUCUGUGAUGUUGCUAUAAUUCAUUCAUUCAGGCGAAGCAGCUUGGGUGUGUGUGUGUGUGUGUGUGUGUGUGUGUACGGAGCCUGAGUGACUCUAUGUAUGUGUUUUCAUCUCUUUGUGAAUCUGUAUUUUACUUUUUCAAUGCUGACUGUGUGCCUUCUGAAGGAAUAAACAUCUCAGGGGGAGAGAGUCAGGCUGUUCCUAUCCCUCUGUGGCGUCACCCAAUCAAAAUGAAGGCUUGUUUUUGGAAGAGGACCGACACGUCCUGCAUCUACCGCCAACGCUCCAUAGAACAGACUCACUCACGCUCAGGGGACAGAUUUUUGGUAUCAGUCAAGGAAGGAUUUCUUAAGAAUGCACGUGUUUGAAUGUGCGUGCAUGCUUGUGUUUUAG